Molecule: ribosomal RNA, 269 nt
Filed under: uncultured prokaryote
Description: partial 16S ribosomal RNA
Rfam family: Bacterial small subunit ribosomal RNA
Source: RNAcentral
GACGGAGGGAGCGAGCGUUGUUCGGAUUUAUUGGGCGUAAAGGGCAAGUAGGCGGCCCGCUAAGUCAGGUGUGAAAGCCCUCCGCUCAACGGAGGAAUUGCAUCCGAUACUGGCAGGCUUGAGGAGUGGAGAAGCGAGCGGAAUUCUCGGUGUAGCGGUGGAAUGUGUAGAUAUCGAGAAGAACUCCAGUGGCGAAGGCGGCUCGCUAGACACUUUCUGACGCUGAAUUGCGAAAGCCAGGGGAGCGAACGGGAUUAGAUACCCUCGUA